Molecule: ribosomal RNA, 253 nt
Filed under: uncultured bacterium
Lineage: Bacteria
Description: partial 16S ribosomal RNA
Rfam family: Bacterial small subunit ribosomal RNA
Source: RNAcentral
UACGUAGGGUGCAAGCGUUGUCCGGAAUUAUUGGGCGUAAAGAGCUCGUAGGCGGCUUGUCACGUCGGCUGUGAAAACCCGGGGCUCAACUCCGGGCCUGCAGUCGAUACGGGCUGGCUUGAGUGCGGUAGGGGAGACUGGAAUUCCUGGUGUAGCGGUGAAAUGCGUAGAUAUUGGGAGGAACACCAGUGGCGAAGGCGGCUACCUGGACCGGUUCUGACGCUGAGGCGCGAAAGCGUGGGGAGCAAACAGG